Molecule: transfer RNA, 74 nt
Filed under: Elusimicrobiales bacterium
Lineage: Bacteria; Pseudomonadati; Elusimicrobiota; Elusimicrobia; Elusimicrobiales
Also listed under: 1 other name
Description: tRNA-Gly
Rfam family: tRNA
About the family: Transfer RNA (tRNA) molecules are approximately 80 nucleotides in length. Their secondary structure includes four short double-helical elements and three loops (D, anti-codon, and T loops). Further hydrogen bonds mediate the characteristic L-shaped molecular structure. tRNAs have two regions of fundamental functional importance: the anti-codon, which is responsible for specific mRNA codon recognition, and the 3' end, to which the tRNAs corresponding amino acid is attached (by aminoacyl-tRNA synthetases). tRNAs cope with the degeneracy of the genetic code in two manners: having more than one tRNA (with a specific anti-codon) for a particular amino acid; and 'wobble' base-pairing, i.e. permitting non-standard base-pairing at the 3rd anti-codon position.
Source: RNAcentral
GCGGGCGUGGUUCAAUGGUAGAACGUGACCUUGCCAAGGUUAAGACGAGGGUUCGAUUCCCUUCGCCCGCUCCA